GACAGAGGAUGCAAGCGUUAUCCGGAAUGAUUGGGCGUAAAGCGUCUGUAGGUGGCUUUUCAAGUCCGCCGUCAAAUCCCAGGGCUCAACCCGGGACAGGCGGCGGAAACUGGCAAGCUGGAGUACGGUAGGGGCAGAGGGAAUUUCCGGUGGAGCGGUGAAAUGCGUAGAGAUCGGGAAGAACACCAACGGCGAAAGCGCUCUGCUGGGCCGACACUGACACUGAGAGACGAAAGCUAGGGGAGCAAAUGGG
RNAcentral lists this ribosomal RNA (253 nucleotides) under uncultured bacterium. RNAcentral describes it as "partial 16S ribosomal RNA". It matches the Rfam family "Bacterial small subunit ribosomal RNA", at positions 524 to 776 of the family's 1533-position model. The record is from RNAcentral.